CAGGGGGAAGAGGAAAGGGGUAUUGCGGCUCAGCCCACUUUAACCUUUGUCGGGGAUGGGGGGGAAAUGUAGAUUCUGAGAUAGUUAUCAGGUCUUUACUGUUCCCCAUGCCUACAGAACUUGAUGGACGGGUUACACUUUACGGCAGCAUGUGUUUUAAUCGGUUUCGCGAGGAGGGGAUCAUUUUCCACCACCCCCUUGUUUUGUUGAAGGUUCCCGGCUUCUGACGUAAUUGAGCUGUUACCAGCCUACUGAGUUUCUCCAGCAUUCUCUGUUGGGGAAAUACACCGACGAGCUUCCAUCUUCUUAAAAGAAGGUAACGUCGAGAAAGCAGAGCCCAGGGGAAGGCAAUUUGAAAUGAAUCAUCUCCUAGAGGCUUCUUCCUCGAUGCCGCGUUCUAUCCUCAUGUCCCGAGGACUCCAAAUUCUAUUGUUUGUAGUAACCGAGUGAGUUGCUAGGAGCGGCGGAGAGCCCAGUUAUUGACACUUCGAGAAAAAAAAACAUUUUCACCAAAGCGAUGGGUGUGGGACCAACACGUGCCUCUUGAAUAAGUGUAGCGUUGACCUCCGGUCAAAUUGAAAGUAGAGCGAAUAUUGCACACUCUGGCCGUCAGCUGAAUGGAUUGUCUUUGCUAAAAAGUGAUAAGCCAAAAAAAAAAGACAAAUUCAACAAGGCAGGAUGGAUGUGCCUGGACACCUUAAGCCCAUUCCCGAUUUUCAAUGAUUGGACUUAUUCUUACAUAGAUCUCCAGCGUUUGCUAUAUUCAUAACAGCAUCUGUACUGGAGAGAAGUGGUAUUCUCCAAUCCUUCCACUUCCCAAACUCUGAAAAUCCAAUUAAUUUAUGAAGCAAGAUUUGCAUUCACAUAUUGUUGCAAUCCCGGUAAAAACUAAUAACUUAAAAAGAUGGAAAUAUUUCAGUUGGCUGACACAAGGGAGUGGCACAACAACAACACUUCCGGUUUUAAGACUGUUACAGUUAAAAAAAGACAUUUUAAUUGCUUGCAAGUAAUACACUAAGGUAUUCCCCAUUGACUUCUGAACACAGCCAACAACCUUAUGUCAUGUCUGUACAGCACAUUUGUGAUGCUGGUGCUCCUUUAACAAGGUUAUGUUGUACUGGGUCUUUUAUUCAGCGAUUGUAAAAGUAUAGAUUCCGUUGUCUGGGUUUACCUACUUGACCAAGCUUUUAAGUGUUUAAACAAACACUUGUACAAUGAAAGGGGACUGGCCAGUUCUGCCAGCUCAGCGUUUCUCUGGUUUGGUUUGGUUUUCAGCAGUCUGGCUGUUUGUCAGUUUUUUGAAGCAGCUCCCUGCCAUAUCCAGCUCUAGUAAGAUCCUGUGUUUGAUUUUAGCUUUUUUUGCUUAUGGGGAUUGUGACAGGAGUUUGGAACAGUAAGUUGGGUUAGUUUGUUGGGUUUUAAGUAGUUAAGUUAUUCUAUAUUCUGUUCUCUUGUGUAAUCUUGCAAAUAAAUUCUGUUUUGUUUAAAACUAAGUGGUUAGGCCAUCUGCAUCACUCAUGGAAUAUCCACUCUACACUUGCUCAAAACACCUAGAAAAGUAAGGGUAUGGGUUACCUUCUUGAAGUGAGGGGGUCUGGUCUUGUCCAUAACAGACUGGGGGCUCUUUGCAGGAUUUGUUCUAUAGUUCCAUUUUGGGAUGAGGGCUGUUGGACUCAAAGGUGGUAGGUGUUAGUGUCUUUUGUUCUGGGUAUUGACUUUGGUUGGUUUAAACAGUGUUUUUGGGAUAGCAAUGUCUCUUACAGUCAUUAAGAGUUUUCUGCGGUUGGAAGAAGUGACUUUGGGGGUUUUAUAGAAAAGGUGAUUAAGGCCAAGCUGCUGCAUUUAGCAGACAAACUGGAGUUGGAGCUACUUCCUUCUCUGAGGAAAGGAGAGAUAAUUACAGCAGUAGCUCAGCAUUUAAAUUUGCUGAAAGUGCCAUCAGAAUCUUU
Molecule: long non-coding RNA, 1949 nt
Organism: Chiloscyllium plagiosum (whitespotted bambooshark)
Lineage: Eukaryota; Metazoa; Chordata; Chondrichthyes; Orectolobiformes; Hemiscylliidae
Source: RefSeq, a predicted model, not a curated record